GCGGGAUUAGUACACUGGUAGUAUGCUACCUUCCCAAGGUAGAGAAGGGAGUUCGAUUCUCCUAUCCCGCUCCA
Molecule: transfer RNA, 74 nt
Filed under: Patescibacteria group bacterium
Lineage: Bacteria
Also listed under: 1 other name
Description: tRNA-Gly
Rfam family: tRNA
About the family: Transfer RNA (tRNA) molecules are approximately 80 nucleotides in length. Their secondary structure includes four short double-helical elements and three loops (D, anti-codon, and T loops). Further hydrogen bonds mediate the characteristic L-shaped molecular structure. tRNAs have two regions of fundamental functional importance: the anti-codon, which is responsible for specific mRNA codon recognition, and the 3' end, to which the tRNAs corresponding amino acid is attached (by aminoacyl-tRNA synthetases). tRNAs cope with the degeneracy of the genetic code in two manners: having more than one tRNA (with a specific anti-codon) for a particular amino acid; and 'wobble' base-pairing, i.e. permitting non-standard base-pairing at the 3rd anti-codon position.
Source: RNAcentral